UACGGAGGGUCCAAGCGUUAUCCGGAAUCACUGGGUUUAAAGGGUGCGUAGGCGGAUAACUAAGUCUAAGGUGAAAGUCUGUGGCUUAACUAUAGAAUUGCCUUGGAUACUGGUUAUCUUGAAUUGGGUUGAGGAUGGCGGAAUGUGACAUGUAGCGGUGAAAUGCAUAGAUAUGUCAUAGAACACCGAUUGCGAAGGCAGCCAUCUGGGCCUUGAUUGACGCUGAGGCACGAAAGCGUGGGGAGCGAACAGG
This 253-nucleotide ribosomal RNA is filed under the name uncultured bacterium. RNAcentral's name for it is "partial 16S ribosomal RNA". It matches the Rfam family "Bacterial small subunit ribosomal RNA", at positions 524 to 776 of the family's 1533-position model. The record is from RNAcentral.